Molecule: ribosomal RNA, 576 nt
Filed under: uncultured eukaryote
Lineage: Eukaryota
Description: SSU rRNA
Rfam family: Eukaryotic small subunit ribosomal RNA
Source: RNAcentral
UAAAAACCCCGACUUCGGAAGGGGUGUAUUUAUUAGAUACAAAACCAAUGCCCUUCGGGGCUCUUUGGUGAUUCAUGAUAACUACACGAAUCGCACGGCCUUGCGCCGGCGAUGGUUCAUUCAAAUUUCUUCCCUAUCAACUUUCGAUGUUUGGGUAUUGGCCAAACAUGGUUGCAACGGGUAACGGAGGGUUAGGGCUCGACCCCGGAGAAGGAGCCUGAGAAACGGCUACUACAUCCAAGGAAGGCAGCAGGCGCGCAAAUUACCCAAUCCCGACUCGGGGAGGUAGUGACAAUAAAUACUGAUACAGGGCCCUUUCGGGCCUUGUAAUUGGAAUGAGUACAAUUUAAAUCCCUUAACGAGGAACAAUUGGAGGGCAAGUCUGGUGCCAGCAGCCGCGGUAAUUCCAGCUCCAAUAGCGUAUAUUAAAGUUGUUGUGGUUAAAAAGCUCGUAGUUGAACCUUGGGCCUGGCUGGCCGGUCCGCCUCACCGCGUGCACUGGUCCGGCCGGGCCUUUCCCUCUGUGGAACCCCAUACCCUUCACUGGGCGUGGCGGGGGAAACAGGACAUUUACUU